UUGACCUCGGAUCAGGUAGGAAUACCCGCUGAACUUAAGCAUAUCAAUAAGCGGAGGAAAAGAAACCAACAGGGAUUGCCCUAGUAACGGCGAGUGAAGCGGCAACAGCUCAAAUUUGAAAUCUGGCUCUCGGGCCCGAGUUGUAAUUUGUAGAGGAUACUUUUGAUGCGGUGCCUUCCGAGUUCCCUGGAACGGGACGCCAUAGAGGGUGAGAGCCCCGUCUGGUUGGAUGCCAAAUCUCUGUAAAGUUCCUUCGACGAGUCGAGUAGUUUGGGAAUGCUGCUCUAAAUGGGAGGUAUAUGUCUUCUAAAGCUAAAUACCGGCCAGAGACCGAUAGCGCACAAGUAGAGUGAUCGAAAGAUGAAAAGCACUUUGAAAAGAGAGUUAAAAAGUACGUGAAAUUGUUGAAAGGGAAGCGUUUAUGACCAGACUUGGGCUUGGUUAAUCAUCUGGGGUUCUCCCCAGUGCACUUUUCCAGUCCAGGCCAGCAUCAGUUUUCCCCGGGGGAUAAAGACUUCGGGAAUGUGGCUCUCUUCGGGGAGUGUUAUAGCCCGUUGUGUAAUACCCUGGGGGGGACUGAGGUUCGCGCAUCUGCAAGGAUGCUGGCG
RNAcentral lists this ribosomal RNA (608 nucleotides) under Fusarium proliferatum. Its description in RNAcentral is "eukaryotic LSU rRNA". It matches the Rfam family "Eukaryotic large subunit ribosomal RNA", at positions 1 to 631 of the family's 3401-position model. The record is from RNAcentral. Lineage: Eukaryota; Fungi; Ascomycota; Sordariomycetes; Hypocreales; Nectriaceae.